Molecule: transfer RNA, 85 nt
Filed under: Felis catus (domestic cat)
Lineage: Eukaryota; Metazoa; Chordata; Mammalia; Carnivora; Felidae
Rfam family: tRNA
About the family: Transfer RNA (tRNA) molecules are approximately 80 nucleotides in length. Their secondary structure includes four short double-helical elements and three loops (D, anti-codon, and T loops).
Source: Rfam by way of RNAcentral
GCCUGGGUGGCUCAGUCGGUUAAGCGUCCGACUUCAGCUCGGGUCACGAUCUCACGGUCUGUGAGUUCGAGCCCCGCAUCAGGCU